Oncorhynchus tshawytscha (Chinook salmon) is the source of this 743-nucleotide long non-coding RNA. The record is from Ensembl. Lineage: Eukaryota; Metazoa; Chordata; Actinopteri; Salmoniformes; Salmonidae.
GUCUACUUUAUGUAACCUGUAUAGUCUACUUUAUGUAACCUGUAUAGUCUACUUUAUGUAACCUGUAUAGUCUACUUUAUGUAACCUGUAUAUUCUACUUUAUGUAACCUGUAUAGUAUACUUUAUGUAGCCUGUAUAGUCUACUUUAUGUGACCUCUAUAGUCUACUUUAUGUAACCUGUAUAGUCUACUUUAUGUAGCCUGUAUAGUCUACUUUAUGUGACCUCUAUAGUCUACUUUAUGUAGCCUGUAUAGUCUACUUUAUGUAACCUGUAUAGUCUACUUUAUGUGACCUCUAUAGUCUACUUUAUGUAACCUGUAUAGUCUACUUUAUGUAACCUGUAUAGUCUACUUUAUGUAGCCUGUAUAGUCUACUUUAUGUAACCUGUAUAGUCUACUUUAUGUGACCUCUAUAGUCUACUUUAUGUAACCUGUAUAGUCUACUUUAUGUAACCUGUAUAGUCUACUUUAUGUAACCUGUAUAGUCUACUUUAUGUAACCUCUAUAUCUACUUUAUGUAACCUGUAUAGUCUACUUUAUGUAACCUGUAUAAUCUAAUCUAUGUAACCUGUAUAGUCUACUUUAUGUAACCUGUAUAGUCUACUUUAUGUAACCUGUAUAGUCUACUUUAUGUGACCUCUAUAGUCUACUUUAUGUAACCUGUAUAGUCUACUUUAUGUAACCUGUAUAGUCUACUUUAUGUAACCUGUAUAAUCUAAUCUAUGUAACCUGUAUAGUCUACUU